This 428-nucleotide ribosomal RNA is filed under the name Acanthamoeba sp. RNAcentral describes it as "SSU rRNA". It matches the Rfam family "Eukaryotic small subunit ribosomal RNA", at positions 766 to 1076 of the family's 1831-position model. Lineage: Eukaryota; Discosea; Longamoebia; Acanthamoebidae. The record is from RNAcentral.
UUAGAGUGUUCAAAGCAGGCAGAUAUUUCUUUUACUGCCACCGAAUACAUUAGCAUGGGAUAAUGGAAUAGGACCCUGUCCUUCAUGUUUCGCGUUGGUUGUGUGUUAAGUGCGUGCGCAAGCGCGCGGCUGGCACAUGGUGUUCGUCUAAAGGAGGACCAGGGUAAUGAUUAAUAGGGAUAGUUGGGGGCAUUAAUAUUUAAUUGUCAGAGGUGAAAUUCUUGGAUUUAUGAAAGAUUAACUUCUGCGAAAGCAUCUGCCAAGGAUGUUUUCAUUAAUCAAGAACGAAAGUUAGGGGAUCGAAGACGAUUAGAUACCGUCGUAGUCUUAACCAUAAACCAUGCCGACCAGCGAUUGGGAGACGUUUCACACGGAAGUGGUGCCGGGGAGGGCGCCUCUCGCUUUGCUCCGUAAAAAAGGGCCGAGCA